UUGCUGGUUGGGCCCUGUUUGGAGACUAGCUUAGUUAUAGUCCAGAGGCCAACGGUGUAUGAGUGUCAUUUCAAAACUUAUACCAGCAAUUUACUAUUAUAUAUAUUUUUUGUUAUUUGUUUUAAUUUGUUCUAAAUUUAAAUUACUUGUUUGAAUUUGUGGUAGUGGACUGCUGACUGUGGGCCCUGCUUGGUGACUGGCUUUGGUAUAGUCCUGAGGCCAUCAGUGUUUGAAAAUUAAUUCACAAAUUUUUAUCAGCAAUUUGCUAUCAUAUAAUUAAUUUUUAAUUUUAAUUUUGUUAUUUGACUUACCCGUUGAACGGUGUGAAUACUUUGUGAUAGUAAAUUGUUGAUUGGGUCCUGCUUGGUGACUAGCUUCUAGUUAUAGUCUAGAGGCCAGGUGCGCUUGAGUUUAGUUGCAACUCAAAACCUGGUAUCAGCAAUUUUCUAUCUUAUAACUUUAAAUUUUAAGUUUGUUCUUAUUUGUUGAGGUGUCCUUGGUACAGUGGUGAGGUCUAGGUUACCUAAAUACUUAGGAGUAGGAAUAUUUUGGUGGGCUCACUCGUACACUCCUUUAAAUAAUUCCUUUGAUUUUUUUUUCAAUUUUUAUUUUGAAUUUUUUUUUGUUUUUUUUUUUAUUUUUUUGAAUUUUUUUUUGAAUUUUUUUUUGAAUUUUUUUUUGAUUUUUUUUUGUUCUGGUUGUAAACUGCAAGUAACAUGUCGGUGUCCUACAUUCGCGGGAAGGUGACUAGUGAGCUCCGAUGGUUCGCAUCAGCUCAUGCUUUGGUUGACAGAACAGAUAGGGAUGCGGCAUUGCUCGAUAGGGCGUCUCAGGUGCACGAACGGUUGGAGGUAGUGUACGAUCGGUUGUCUGACCUCGUUGCUUUGGGGUCCGAAGUGGAGAAGGAGGUGAUCCAUGCCAUCGGUCUUGACGUGGACCAGUGUCAGGAGUACGCUGAUGCCAUUCUGCAACGGGUGGCCGAUAUUAAGAAGCAGUCGUCAUCCGGUGGUAAUGGAGGUUCGGGAACUUCGUCAGGCGUCAUAUCACGCCUCCCCUCCAUCGACCUGCCGAUCUUCCACGGUGAUCUGAACGAGUGGGUCGGCUUUAUAAAUUUGUUUGACAGCCUGGUCCAUGGUCGGUCGGACUUGACUGCCUCUUAUAAGAUGGCUCAGCUUCGGGGUGCUCUGCGAGGUGAACCUGGUGAAUUGGUGGCACACUUGCCUAUCACCAACGACAAUUAUGCGGUCGCACGCCAGAUCCUGUUCGACCGAUAUCAAAAUCAACGACGGUUGGUAGACACUCAGCUGGCCAGGCUGUUUGCGAUACCCAAACUUUCUCGGGCUUCCGAUAUCAGAGCCGAGGUACUGAAUCCAGUUACGGUGGCCACUAAGGCCUUGGGAAAUUUGGGUCUACCAGUAGACCAAUGGUCAUAUCUGCUCUUUUAUAUUGUUGCAGGUAGGCUGCCGGUUGAGGUGCUCACUCGAUUCGAGCAGCAGGACAACGCAGGUAGGGACGAACUGCCUACCCUGGCCAGUCUGCUGGCAUUUUUAGAAGCUGAAAGUCGCCGACACGAGAUUAUGCCACCGCCCUCCUCCUCUGGGUCGCGUGUGCCGGUUUCCGGCCACGCCGUUUCGGUUGCUCAGAGGGGAGGGGGAGGGGAUAAGAGGGGGCCGUCUCAACGACUGACUGCGCUCAUGGCAGCGGUGGGAGGCCCACGGUGUGCCUUCUGUCAUGAGAGCGGGCACGACGUAGCCGCCUGUCCGAGGUUCCGGUCGACGCGCAUCAGGGGUAGACGCAACAUCGUUGCCCAGCGGCGAUGGUGCUUUUUUUGUUUUGGGCCGCACACGGCGAGCGUCUGUCCACAGCCACAAUUGUGCCCUAAUUGCGACGGUCGGCACCAUGCCCUCCUGUGUCUGGAGUCUGCCGCCACUCCGAGGUCAUCCGGACGCAGUCAUCCAGCCUCGCCGACCGGUGAGCGCACCGGUCGUAGCCCUCGCCAAUUCGGCGGCGUGGACCCUCGGAAAGAGGCUUCGCAGGGAGGCGCCGGGUUAGGUACUGCGGGCGGGUGCCAGCGGAUGCCCAUUAGCUACGCCGGGGUGGCCACGUUGUCCCCCCGUGCGGGGCCGUGUUCGCCUGCUGGAUCGAGUAGCCCUGCUCACUCGUCUCCCCCUCCCUCAGAAGUACGGUUUUCUCCUCCGCUGAGGGAGCGGCCGACGCUGGAGCGACUCCCUCCAGUGUUUGGACCGUUUGGCCAUCGUACGCGGAGGUAUAUGAGGCGGGACGGGAAACGAGGGCCUUAUGUGGGAGCGUGGGAUCCGCUGGCACGCUACGACCUUCCGUCGCGCGCCGACCGGGAUAGCGGGGACCCGGGCCCCCGCUAGGAAAUUGCCGCUCACUGCAGUGUUGCCCCAGCCCCAGAAGCUGUUUUACUUCCUACCGCUUCUGUUCGGGUGUUGGAUUCGGAUGGCAACACUGUGUUUGCUCGAGCUCUGUUGGAUUCCGGCGCACAGGGCACUAUUAUGUCGAGCAACCUUGCAGUACGGUUGGGCAAUCCUAUUUACAAGUCUUCUUAUUCUAUUCGUGGAGUGGGCAAUGUUAGAAUUUCGGACGUGAUCGGUCACACUUCAUUUAUUUUCUCAUCGAAUCCCAACCCUCGCUUACAGUUUAGAGUCUCAGCUUUGGUGAUGCCUGAGGUGAUAGGUCGUCACCCUCCGGUGAAGGUAAACAGUUACAUACGGUCAUUGACUUCAGACUUACGGCUAGCGGACCCCAAGUUUGACACCCCGGGGCCAGUAGACGUACUACUUGGGGCGGAUGUACUAGGGAAGCUGCUCCUGACUGGGAAGCGCGUUCUUCAUGCGGAGGGUUUGGUUGCAAUGGACACAAAAUUAGGGCAUGUAUUGUUGGGUCCUGCGUUCCGGCCGGUCGCUGCGAGGAAAUCGGACAAUUUUCUGGUCGGGUCUACGCUUUCGGAAGUAGUCCAACGGUUUUGGGAACUAGAAGAACCUCCUACAGCUUAUCGAGUUAACCCGGAUGAGGAGGAAUGUGAGCUGUUUUACCAGAAUAAUACGGGUCGUCUCUAUUCGGGCCGGUUCUUGUUAAGACUUCCUUUUCGGGCGAAUCGCCCACUGCUAGGCAGUUCGAGGAAGGCAGCAGAGACCAGACUUUUGUCAAUGGAGAGACGCAUGAGGCGCGACGCGGUGUUCCGGCAGAAAUAUGUAGAGUUUAUGCGGGAGUAUGAAUCUUUAGGUCACAUGUCGGUUUCCAAGGUAGAUUGGAGUGCUACGGAGCACUGUUUCCUGCCUCAUCAUGCGGUUUUGAAAACUCCUAACGGUAAAAUUAGGGUCGUGUUUGACGGUUCGGUCACGACCUCCUCCGGCGUCUCCUUAAAUCAGUGUCUCCAUUCGGGUCCAAAGCUGAACCGGGACAUUUCAGACAUACUGACGAGCUUCCGCAGGCACCAGAUCGUUUUCGUGGCAGACAUCCGUAUGAUGUUCAGGCAAACGGUGAUUCAUCCGGAGGAUAGGCGGUAUCAACUCAUUCUCUGGCGUGAAAGCUCAGAUGAGCCCAUAAAAAUUUAUGAACUGAACACGAACACUUACGGGUUGCGGUCGAGUCCAUAUUUAGCGGUUCGUUCUUUGCGGGAGUUGGCAGUGAGGGAACGGUUGCACUACCCUCGUGCUGCGGACAUUUUGGAACGGGACCUAUAUGUCGAUGACGUAUGUACGGGCGCCGACAGUGUCGAAGAGGCCUUAUCACGCAAGGAUGAACUGAUCCGCCUUUUGAGCAGGGGCGGGUACGAGUUGAGAAAAUGGCUGUCUAACUGUCCUGAGUUGUUGACUGGUUUGCCAACGGAGUAUCAACAGGAUCCCCAUCUUUUCGAGAAUGUCGAUAACCCUAACAUGCUGUCGGUCCUAGGGAUUCAAUAUCGUCCGAUUCAAGACGAAUUUACCUAUCGGGUGGAGUUGGAAAAUCCAAAGGUAUGGUCUAAGCGAACGGUGCUUUCCACAAUUGCUCGAACCUUCGAUCCAAACGGUUGGAUCGCUCCUGUCACUUUUCUCUUAAAGUGCUUCAUGCAGCGACUGUGGUCUGCUAACCUGUCAUGGGACGAGGGGAUUGCUGGUGACCUAUUGAAGGAUUGGUUGAACUUUUUCUCGUCUCUUCCUGAUAUUAACCACGUGUCAAUACCUCGGAAGCUGGUUCCUGCGGGCAAAUACAAGGCGUCUCUCCACGGGUUUUCGGAUGCCUCGGAACGCGGAUUCGCAGCUGCGGUAUACUUGCGAACGGUUUCUUCAACUGGAAGGGUUGAUAUACGGUUGGUGUUAGCUAAGAGUAAGGUCGCUCCGCUUCGGACACGCAUGACGAUUCCGAAGCUCGAGUUGUCUGGUGCCGCUCUGUUGACUAGGUUGUUAAACCAUACAGCUACUAGUUUACGGUCGGUUAUUGAUUUAGAAAACACUGUCUAUGCUUGGACAGACAGCCAGAUAGUGUUGUGCUGGUUGAAGGCUUCGGUUCAUACACUUGAAGUUUUCGUGGCCAACCGUGUCUCCCAGAUUCAAGGUUCUGAGGUCCCUCUAACAUGGAGACACGUGCCUGGUGAGCUCAAUCCGGCGGACUGCGCUUCUCGGGGAUGCUUAGCAUCGGAAAUAGUUGAUCAUCAGUUAUGGUGGGGUCCCCAGUGGCUCACCAAGAAAGCUUCUCAGUGGCCUCCCUCUCGCAUAGAAGUUCCUCCAGGUCUCGUGGCUGCACCGGCGCAGUUCGAGGAUCGAGGAGUGAUUCAGGGGUUGGAUUUGGAUCUGCUCAUCAACCGUUAUAGCUCCUUGGACAAGCUGGUUAAGGUUACCGCCUGGAUUUUGAGGUUUAUUCGGAAUUGUCGUUUGUCGGUGUCUCAACGCAAUAUGACACCUGUUGUGUGUCCCAUCGAGCGGAAGAAGGCGCUGCUGAAAUUAAUUGAAGUUGUGCAAGCCACCAGCUUUCAUUCAGAAUUGAAGGCGCUAAGGACUAAGCGCCCUAAGCUUCGUGGAGCUAUCGCUCGUCUUAGCCCCUUUGUAGACGGCCAGGGGCUGAUUCGAGUGGGAGGUAGAUUAAGUAACUCCAAUUUACCUUAUUCGGCGCGCCAUCCUCUUUUACUUCCCAAGAAGAGCCAGUUAGUUGACCUGUUGGUGAUGGAUCGCCACAUCGCAAAUUCGCAUUCCGGUUGCAAUGCGUUGUUGGCAUCCCUCCAGAGGGAAUUUUGGAUUCUGUCAGGGCGUCGUACGGUUCGGAGCGUCCUUUUCCGGUGUUUACCCUGUUAUCGGCUUAAGGCGUCUACGAUGCAGCCUCAGAUGGGAGAUCUGCCCCCAGACAGAGUGAAGAAGAUCAGGCCGUUUUCUGGAGUUGGUACGGACUUCGCUGGGCCCUUCAUGAUCAAGGCUUCACGUUUGCGGAAUGUUAGGUUAAUUAAGGCUUAUCUGUGCGUCUUUGUCUGUCUUUCAACCAAAGCUGUACAUCUUGAAGUUGUUGCCGACCUUACAACUGAAGCCUUUAUUGCGAGCUUGGAUAGAUUUGUGUCCCGUCGAGGUUUACCCGAAUUGAUACGCUCCGAUAACGGAACGAAUUUUGUAGGUGCGGACCGUUACUUGCGGGAUGUAGUAAAUUUCUUGAACAAUAACCAGGUGGAUAUUGAAACGGCCCUCUCUCGUCGCGGUAUUCGGUGGACCUUCAGUCCUCCAGGAUGCCCCCACUGGGGUGGAAUUUUCGAGGCAGUAGUAAAAUCGGCUAAGACUCACUUGAUGCGCGUGAUAGGGCAAACCUCGCUCACCUUUGAGGAGUUAACUACGGUAUUUUGUAAAAUUGAAGCGGUACUUAAUUCACGGCCGUUGUGCCCGCUCAGUUCAGACCCGAAUGACUUGGAGUCGUUAACUCCAGGCCAUUUCUUGAUAGGACAGCCACUCAAUGCGUUGCCGGAGUAUCCCCUCUCGGAUAUCAAGCCUGGACGGUUGAGGCGAUACCAGAUGUUGCAGCAGAUGUCCCAAGAUUUUUGGAAACGUUGGUCCCUUGAGUAUUUACAUCUGCUCCAGCAGCGCUUUAAGUGGACGGAUAGAACCAGUCCCCCUCACGUCGGUGACCUUGUGUUGGUUAAGGAUGCUAACCUGCCGCCACUGCGUUGGCGUAGGGGGCGCAUUGUUAAUCUGUUUCCCGGUAAGGAUGGGACCCCUCGGUCUGCAGAGGUUCUGGUCGGGGACUCGGUUCUCAAACGAGCGGUCACAACGUUGUCCCGGCUGCCAGUUGAUUAGGGACAGGUAGGGGACCUGUCCGGGCGGGUGACUGUUCGAAACCAAUCCGUUAGUUUUUGAAUUCUUACCACGGCAACACGGGUCGCGAUUUGACGGUGCCGUCGCGAUUUGACAUCUGUCACUUUGUCUUGCUUCUCGAACGGGACGGUACCUGUACAUUGACGGUCUACGCUAAAGUUGUGUAUCAUCGCUAAUCCUUAUCCAUUCCUGCCCUAUACCCUUCUCCCUAAGUGAUACGGCGUGAGAAGACGAAGGCAUCGGUUCCGGGCUCAAACCGGAGUGUUGCUAAUACUGGCCCUAGCAAGAGCAGUACUUCGCAGAAUCUACCACCGGAUCGGAAACGUGACCCACAAGAAGAUACGGCGAGAAACUCAGUGGGCUGUGUCUACGGGUUAACCAAUCCACAAGAUAACAAUAACGUUGCUGCGAAUAUGGGGGCGCAUUGUUAGCCUUCUUAGUGGUAGACCACAUAGAUCUGCCAUCUUCCGCUGAAAGAGAUGACCUCCAAAGAUCCUUAGAAUGGCUAGACGUAAUAUUUUAAGAUUUCUUACACCGACAUGACAGUCCGAUGUGGCUCGAUUUAAAUUUUGAAUUAAAAAUAAAACACUUGUUUUUUUUAAGCAUUCUUAAUGUAAGAUGUUGUUAACAACUUCUUAGUCUGUGUAGCGAAACCUGUUUUUUUUAAUAUAUGCUUUACAACUGUUUUA
Molecule: RNA transcript, 6982 nt
Organism: Bombyx mori (domestic silkworm)
Lineage: Eukaryota; Metazoa; Arthropoda; Insecta; Lepidoptera; Bombycidae
Exons: 2
Source: RefSeq, a predicted model, not a curated record